GACGAACGCUGGCGGCGUGCUUAACACAUGCAAGUCGAACGGAAAGGCCCUGCUUUUGUGGGGUGCUCGAGUGGCGAACGGGUGAGUAACACGUGGGUAACCUGCCCUUGACUUUGGGAUAACUUCAGGGAACUGGGGCUAAUACCGGAUAGGUGCUCCUGCUGCAUGGUGGGGGUGGGAAAGUUUCGGCGGUUGGGGAUGGACUCGCGGCUGAUCAGCUUGUUGGUGGGGAAGUGGCUUACCAAGGCUUUGACGGGUAGCCGGCCUGAGAGGGUGACCGGCUACAGUGGGACUGGGAUACGGCCCAGACUCCUACGGGAGGCAGCAGUGGGGAAUAUGGCAUAAGGGGCGGAAGCCUGAUGCAGCAACGCCGCGUGCGGGAUGAUGGCCUUCGGGUUGUAAACCGAUUUCGCCUGUGACGAAGCGUGAGUGACGGUAAUGGGUAAAGAAGCACCGGCUAACUACGUG
This 468-nucleotide ribosomal RNA is filed under the name uncultured bacterium. Its description in RNAcentral is "partial 16S ribosomal RNA". It matches the Rfam family "Bacterial small subunit ribosomal RNA", at positions 28 to 507 of the family's 1533-position model. The record is from RNAcentral.